This is a long non-coding RNA of Myiozetetes cayanensis, 198 nucleotides long. RefSeq lists it as uncharacterized. The transcript is spliced from 3 exons. The record is from RefSeq and is a predicted model, not a curated record. Lineage: Eukaryota; Metazoa; Chordata; Aves; Passeriformes; Tyrannidae.
GUGGCUCACAUUCAGAGGACUUGGGGCACUGCUGACAUCUCUCCCACGGCAGCAGGAUGGGGGAGCCAGGCAGGGGUCGGGCUCUGCUCCCUGGGAACAAGGAACAGGACAAGAGGAAAUGGACUCCAACUGUGCCCAAGAAGGUUCAGGUGAAGGUCUCCAAACUGCCAGCACCCAUGUCAUCUGCUCAGGUCUCAG